UGCGUAGGCUGCGCGGAAAGUAGGGUGUGAAAUCCCUCGGCUUAACCGAGGAACUGCGCUCUAAACUACCGUGCUCGAGGGAGAUAGAGGUGAGCGGAACUUAGGGUGGAGCGGUGAAAUGCGUUGAUAUCCUAAGGAACACCGGUGGCGAAAGCGGCUCACUGGAUCUUUUCUGACGCUGAGGCACGAAAGCUAGGGUAGCGAACAGGAUUAGAUACCCCGGUAGUCCUAGCCGUAAACGAUGAGCACUGGAUUGGAGGGUCCUCCAUAGCCUUCCAGUCGCAGCGAAAGUGUUUAGUGCUCCGCCUGGGGAGUAUGGUCGCAAGGCUGAA
Molecule: ribosomal RNA, 332 nt
Filed under: uncultured bacterium
Lineage: Bacteria
Description: bacterial SSU rRNA
Rfam family: Bacterial small subunit ribosomal RNA
Source: RNAcentral